UAGGGGGUGCCUUUCCAUCUGGAAGAAUCUGGAGACAGGUGCUGCAUGGCUGUCGUCAGCUCGUGUCGUGAGAUGUUGGGUUAAGUCCCGCAACGAGCGCAACCCUUGCCUUUAGUUGCCAGCAGUUCGGCUGGGCACUCUAAAGGGACUGCCGGUGUUAAACCGGAGGAAGGUGGGGAUGACGUCAAGUCCUCAUGGCCUUUAUGACCAGGGCUACACACGUACUACAAUGGCCGAUACAAAGGGCAGCGACACUGCGAGGUGAAGCCAAUCCCGUAAAAUCGGUCUCAGUCCGGAUUGGAGUCUGCAACUCGACUCCAUGAAGUUGGAAUCGCUAGUAAUCGUGGAUCAGCAUGCCACGGUGAAUACGUUCCCGGGCCUU
RNAcentral lists this ribosomal RNA (382 nucleotides) under uncultured Desulfobulbus sp. RNAcentral's name for it is "bacterial SSU rRNA". It matches the Rfam family "Bacterial small subunit ribosomal RNA", at positions 1003 to 1382 of the family's 1533-position model. The record is from RNAcentral. Lineage: Bacteria; Pseudomonadati; Thermodesulfobacteriota; Desulfobulbia; Desulfobulbales; Desulfobulbaceae.